Sitodiplosis mosellana (orange wheat blossom midge) is the source of this 772-nucleotide long non-coding RNA. RefSeq lists it as uncharacterized. The record is from RefSeq and is a predicted model, not a curated record. The transcript is spliced from 2 exons. NCBI's taxonomy places the organism in Eukaryota, Metazoa, Arthropoda, Insecta, Diptera, Cecidomyiidae.
UAUAAACAAGAAUGUUUGUCUCCCCAAAUCGGUGGCAAUUAUAAACAGGAAAUUCCGAUGAUUCUUGACUAAAUACCAUUCGGAGAGCCAAUUUGAUUUGUUGACUUGUGCUGAUUCGCAUGCACAUACAAGAACCGAGUAUUUUUGUACACAUGAGCAAUAUCAUUCGGUUGGCUAUCUAUGACAAUGCACGCGUGCUCUCUCUUUCCCUCUGUCUUUCGCUACCUGCUAAUGUCAAAUGGAAUCGUGCAAGUUUGGCAAAGCGAUAAUAAUAUUUAUUUGCGAUGAUGUGUCACACAAACGAAAUGUCACUAUCCUGUCGAUCGGAAGGGAUUUUUGAAAUUUUCUACAACACAACCCGUUUCAAUCAAAUUUCAAGAUCAUUCAUGUUAAAUAAUCGAUUCAAUGGCCAUUAAAUUCGCAAAAGUCGAACGCAAUUACACCGCUAUAUAUUUUCAUAAAUGAAUCCAAAAAAAAAAGAGAUAAGGAAUUCGUAAGGUCGGUGCAGAAUAUCCGCCAUAGAAUCGAUGAAUUCGCAAAAAGGAUUAAAUUAUUUAACAUUUUUCAUCGCAGGGACUUCGAUAAGACAGACAACGAGUAAUUCUAACUGUAAUUCUUAUCGAUACUAUUUUUGAUUGAUCGCUAGUGGAACACAGGAAACCCCCCUCGCUAAUUUUUUUUUUUAGUAAAAGUGAUUGACGAUUCAAAAAUCGAGUUUCGAAGAAUGAAUUUGCUAGAAAAUAAAAUACCGCGAAAUAUAUUCUGAUAUCAA